This 6113-nucleotide long non-coding RNA is filed under the name Heterocephalus glaber (naked mole-rat). RNAcentral describes it as "lncRNA (ENSHGLG00100038708.1)". Lineage: Eukaryota; Metazoa; Chordata; Mammalia; Rodentia; Bathyergidae. The record is from RNAcentral.
UUUCGAAAUACAGUUUUGAAAUAUUAUUUGCUUAUCUUAUUUAUAAGGUUAGCAGAAUUUCUGAAGUAAGAGAGUAUAGAUUAUGACUAAAAUUUAAUUAGCACGCUAAAGCUAUUUUUAAAUAGAAGUAUAAAUGUAAAAUGGAAAGGAAUCCUGUUUAAAAUUAUACAUAAUUACCUCAUAAACCUACUCCCUCUACAACCAAUCAAAAUAAUAAUAUUCUGUAAUAAAAUGAUGUAUAACAUUGAUGUUCUCUUUUGUGGAGAAUAGGCCUUUUUAAUCUCAUUUGACACUGUACUUCUCAUUUCCAGUUGGACAGGAUGAGAAUAUUUCGGGCCAGUCAUUUCCUGUUUGAGUACAUAAACAGUUCACCAUCUAAAAGAAGAAUAUACAGUUUUAACUUGCUGAUGCAGAAAUAAUUGAUAAUUUAUCUUUCAGUGUAAUACACAGAUAUGCACACAGUAUGUAUUAUAUAGUUUCAUAUACAUUAAAAUCCCAAACUACUUUUUAGUAUGCAUUAAUUUUCCCUUUGUCUAGGUUCAUUUUAGGUUAGUCUUAAACUAAUACUUUUCUUGAUUUUUCAAAGUACAGUUUUAUUGAACAUUCUUAUCCACUGCCAGUUUGCAUUCUUUUACAUUAAAAAUAUUCUUUAUAAUGAAUUAGUAUGAUUUUGAAUAAACCACCCAAGAAAUAUGAAUAAGUUCUUAGAAUUUAUGACAAUAUAAACUUCUUACAUAAGAGGAAGCACUAGAAGUUUAUUUUAAAAACUUCUUGAUCCAUAUCUGCCUUCUGUUUUCUAUAGGACUUCUUAAUGUUUUUUACUUUUGCUUUUCUUGCUGCAUAAAUUAUAUCCAGUGAUAGUUUAAAGAGUAAAAUUAAAGUGCCGGCAAGGUGGCAUUACACAAAUUUUAACGUAUAAUACCUGGAAUCUUUUCCCUAAAUCAUUCUAUUUUGUCCCUGUUUUUCCUCCUCCAUGAGAUCAGUUCACAAACAAUAAGCUUUUUAAAAAUUUAUGCUCAGGAUUGCUAUGAUCUUUGUAAAGAAUUUUGCUUAUCUUAAAUACUCUGUCAAGCAAAUAUUUAUAUUUAACCUAUUUGCAAGAGAAAAUCUUGGCAGUUUUAAUCACCCAUAACUAUAACUUUAAUAAAGUAUAAUGACUAUGAAAAACAAGUUUCUCCUUAACUGUCCUAAUAAUAUAUUAUUUAUAGUAUGACCAGGCCUUCCAAAGGUUGUAAAUCUUAACAAAGCCAAAUAGAGUUUAACCCAUGUGAAUGAGUUUAUGUGUAUAUGUUUAUAUGUGCUGGUGUAUGUGUUUAUGUACACAGAUAAAAAGUUCAAGAAAUAAAUACAUUUCUUUUAUGGCCAGCCUUCUUUUGAGCCAGUACCACCGAGAUAAGUCGAUCUUUGCUUAUUUUUCCAAAAUUGGAAAAUUUAAGAAGAUAAUAAAAACACUUAUCUAUAAUAUAUUAAUUUUGCACCUACUCAAAAUUUAUUAGUUUAUAUAUGCCAAUUAUAAAGACGUUAUGGUGUUUAAGAACAGUCAUUAGGUGCUACAGGUAUAGGUCAGUGGUAGAGUACACAUACACAAGGCCCUGGGUUCAGUCCCCAUCAAAGACUACAUUUCAGGGCCAGGGAUUUAGCUCAGUGGUUCCGCCGCCUGCCUCACAACCACAAGGUCCCAAGUUCGAUCCCUGGUACCAAAAAAAAAAAAAAUUCAUAGUUCAUAAUUACAUAAAAUUAUUUGCUGGGGAAUAUAUUAAUAGUGGUUCUGGAUGAUGAGACUUUGGAGUUUUUAUUUUUCUUUUAUGUAUUUUUUUCAAUCAUGAGCAUUUUAUUUCUAAAACCAGAAAAAGAAAAUUAUAAAAAGUUUUUUAAAGAUUUAAAAUUACAUUAAAAGCACUAACAUAUAAUAACUUUACUAAAAUCACUUUUAUUACCAAAGAUCAGAAUAUAUUUUGGAGUCCUUUGGUCUACCAGUUCUCGUUAUUCAAGUAUGUGAUUUGGUAAAGCUAAAAAUAAUUAUGCCCCCUUUUUUCUUUUUUUUUUGUAGUAUAAUAGUACGAUGGUUAAGCACAUGGACUUUGUGGUUAACUCAGUUCUAACCCUAUAAAAUGGGGCCAGUCUACUGCCUCAUGGAGUUGCUGUAUUUAAUAAAAUAUUAUUCACUGAGCAUGUAGUAAUUAACGACAUAACUACCUAACAGCUUAAGUAAUAAUGGUAAUAAUUUGUGGCCACAGGCUUGCAGGGCUUGACAUUUCCUUUGCAAUUGCACUUUCUAAAAGAAAACAUUUCUCUACCAACUAUUUGAUGGUAGUAUUCUGUGUAGAGUUGGGGUUUAAGAAGAGAAAGAUACUUUUAUAAUAAAACACAUUGUUAUUCUAUAAACUGUUGUAAAGAAGCAUACCUACAGUUGUAUAAAAUUUUUUAAAAGCCCUUCUAGAACUAUGAGUAACAGACUUGCUUCAAAGACCGUUUAGUCACACUUGUAUUCACCUUAAACCACAGUCUACAACGUGUGCUCAACAGCUUGCACCCAAAUAGCAUCUUGGGGUUUUUGGUACUGAGCAUUGAACUCGGGACUUUGCGCUUGCAAGGCAGGCACCAGUACCACUGAGCUAAAUCCCCGAUCCCCAAAUAGUGUCUUAACCGAAAAGAUUCACUGUGAUGGUGCUUUAUAGGAUCUCCAAAGUGCUUUCCUAGGUACUGCCUAAAUCGAGCUUCAGAUUACCCUUGUAAUCCAGACAGGUAGCUGUUGUGUCCACUGUGGGAGUGAGGACACAGCUUUAGAGUGGGUGGCAUGUCUGGAGAUCAGAGAGCUCCCAGGAUGAGGCUGAUGCCCAGAGCAGGGCCUGGAGCCAGUAGAUACUUAGUGCUGACAAGUGACUGAAGGGUGGGAAGUGAAUGUCAAGUUGCUCAUCAGGCAGUGUCUUAAUUCCUGGUUCUACUACAAAAUACAGAGUAGAAAGUCUGCUAAAGGAAGAGUUCUACUAUAGACAUUUUAAGCCUUCAAAUAAAGGAAUAAGAGUACUAGCCCUAUUCAUUGAGGUCUUACUAUUUUGCCAGUGCUUUGUGUGUGUUAACUCAUUUCAUCUUCACACAGCCUCACGAGUGAGGUAUCAUGUUCCCUUAGUUGACUGAUGAGCAAGCUGAACAGAGCAGUAAACAUAAUCAAGGUCACACAUUUAGGCAGUGGCAGAGCUGUUAUGUGAGUCUGCUCAUCUACUUGCUGUAUUGCCUCUCAGAGUCCUUUUUCUUUUAAACAUAAAUCUUUCAUAGUUUUAUGUAGUUAACUCUUCAAAGAACCCAAAAGUUAUAACUUUUCAUUAUAUAUUCUCAUUCAGGCCUUGGAAUUGUCUGUAUAGUUGUUUCCCAAAAGAUUUUGUGUACCACUCUCCCUUCAUUUCAGAUAUGCACAGUUUUUCUUAGCAAGUGGAUGUAAUAAAGGAACUCCUGUGUUCCAUCCUUGCUGUUUCAGUUGAUCUUCAUUGGCACUUGAGACUUUGUUGUAAAGAACAACUAAAUUCUAAGCAUAAGACUGUCUCAAAUCGUGAGUUUAUUCCUGUCUAAGAAAAUUUUGUUUCAUUAGCUAAAGGAAGCUUAGAAAUAUAAAGUCUUCUGCUUUCUUCCAGCAUAAAUAAUGCUGGUAUGUAGACCACCCUACAGUAAAGUUUCUGCCAGGGUCAAGCAAUUAUUCCAGCAUUAGAUACUAUUAAAAGGAAUGAGGCAAAAUCGUGCAUACCGGUGAUUAUGACUCAUGAUUGUCCUUAACAGAAUGCAAACAUCUUUUCAUUAUUAGUUUGCUAGUUAAGCAGUAGUGUGGUGCAGUAAGGAAUUUAUCGAUUUUGUUAUAAAAUCCCAUUCUAAAAUUCAUAAGGAAAUGUACUUAAGAAAUUGAUAGUAGUGUCACACUUUAAAAGUAAUCACCCAAAUUGCUUUUCCACCUGUUGCACAUAGUUUAUUUAAAUGAAGAAUUAGCACUAGUCUUAAGUCUCUGUUUUGUCCUGUAUAAUUCAAAGUUUGCUUUUCUUCCAUUUCUUCACAAUAGGGUAACAGAAAGAAUAAUAUUAAAAGUUAGAGACUUGAAUAAUUACCUGUUAAGUAUUCUGUGACUAACAAACGCUGGCUUUUGCAUAUAGUGGACCUGCAUCUGAGACUGGCUGCCUGGCUUUCCAGUGGGCAAGUCUGAAUGGAGAGCCUGGGUAAAGAGGCAGCUCUCCUCAGCUUUCCUGAUACAACCCUUCUGUUUUGUAGUGUGCUGGUUUUUUGGUUUAGUCACUCAAAGGUUAGAGUUGAAGAGUUAAAGCCCUAGGCACUUGUGGAAUGUUUGCCUAGUCUAGUUAUUCAUCGUUUGGUGUGUCCCUCUUCCUCCCUGGCUUGUGGCUGUCAAGUAUACCAAAGGAUAUUUUGUUCUGUUGAAAGCCUCAGGAGUAAAAGGAAAGUGUUGCAAGCAUUCCCAAACAUACUUCCACCUGUCCAGUGGUGGUGAACCUGUGGCACACCACAGCAGGCUGUUUGUUAUCAUUGAAGGCUCUAAGAGGUUCGCCAUCACUGACAUCAGUGUUAAAUUAAAAAGCACUAACCAAGCACAAGUGAGCCCUAAACAGCCUUAUGAGUUUCUUCCUCUUUAAGCAGCAAUUUAAAGGCCUGGUCAUGAAAUAGAGAGUUAAGGAAAAUUGUCAGAUAUAUAUUUUUAAACAGUGAAAAUGUAAAGGGUAGUGUGAACAAACAUAGUUUACUCCCUUUUAAUUUUAAUGUCCUUGGUUACAUAUUUCCAUAUGAAAGUGAAAAGAGAACUAUGCUAAGGAGUAGAGAAGAAAAUCAGCUCUGAUUUAAAUAUGACCAGUUUAAACAGAAUUUUUGUUAUUUCCUUUACCAAAUUUGUGCUGUGCUCAUGAGAAAUAUAUAGUGAAGUAAACAAGACAAACCAUUAGUUGAUCGAUUAUGCUUACGAACAGUAAAAAUAGACAAGUCCCUCAUUGCCAUGUAACUUCUAUUUUUAAAAUUUGUAGUCAUUAUCCUUAGUUCUACCAGAAACACUAGCCAGUUUUGUUUGUAUUGAGUUGAAGGUAUUGCUCAUGAAUGCCUGAUACUUAUCAUUGCAGUUUACCUCCAAAAAUUAAACUGUCACUUCCUCUCCUCACCUCAGGGUUCCCUCUUUAAAAACUAGUAGUUUCUCCAAAAGUUUUGGUGAGUUACAUAAGCAACCAUAGACAAUGAAAGAAUGAUUUUGUAGAAUAAUUUUUUUCUAGAAUUCCUAAUCAGUUUUCAGAGAGGGAGAACAAUACCCUGUGUGACUUCAAAUUAAUUUUCUCUACUUUGAGGUGUAACUUCCUGAUUAUAUUUUACAAAGCCUAUUAUUUUAAAAAAAAGUUUAAAAGCCUCUUGCUAGGAUGUAUCGAGAGCCAGUUUAUAAAGCUUGUUAUUGCUGCCUCAACUUUACAUGUGAGUUGUAGACAGAAUCAAAGUUUGCUGUGUAAUUGAGAUUCACCUAUAUUUCAAAUUACAACAUUUCAUAAAUAUAUGUCACAUUAUAGAGAUGGAGACUCUUCCUGAUCUUUUGUGUGAAUAAUUUGUGGUUUUAUUUCUGAAACUAGAGUUGAUCUGUGCUGAUUUCAUACCUAUCAUUCCAAAGAUCUGAUUAUAUUUAUUUUCUUUGGUAAUUAAAAAUGCAAUGAAAAUCUAAUUUCAAAGUCAGAUAUUGAUAUUUCUAGACAUGGUCUAGUUCUAUAAGAAUUUACUUGUGAAUUUUAAGUAUUUGAUGUAGAUAGAUUAAUAUAUUUUCAUAGAACACUUUUUCUAAACUUAUUUCAGGACUGUAUUAGUCGCUUUUUUCAGGUGUAUGUGGUAACUGUUUGGAAUGAGAGUGCAGUGCCUUCACCAACUCAAAAAUGAUGUAAUACAUGUGAUAUCAUAGAAGGCCGAAUGUGUUUAUACUGUACAUGGAAACCUAAUGCCUCUUUUCUAAAGCUUUGUACUUUUUCCAUGAAAUAAAUAUUUUCUCCUGAAGCCAUAUUUCUGUUUCAAUAUGCUUUCUCUUUUAAAUAUAUCAUGAGAUGAUUUUACUACUUGGAAACCAGCAAGCCGUGGUUUAUUUGAACUUUUGGGAAAAUAAG